Molecule: ribosomal RNA, 465 nt
Filed under: uncultured bacterium
Lineage: Bacteria
Description: partial 16S ribosomal RNA
Rfam family: Bacterial small subunit ribosomal RNA
Source: RNAcentral
CCUACGGGAGGCAGCAGUAGGGAAUCUUCCACAAUGAACGAAAGUCUGAUGGAGCAACGCCGCGUGAGUGAAGAAGGGUUUCGGCUCGUAAAGCGCUGUUGGUAGUGAAGAAAGAUAGCGGUAGGAACUGGCCUUUAUUUGACGGUAAUUACUUAGAAAGUCACGGCUAACUACGUGCCAGCAGCCGCGGUAAUACCUAGGUGGCAAGCGUUGUCCGGAAUUAUUGGGCGUAAAGCGGUUGUAGGCGGGUUAAUAAUGCUGUUGGGAAAGCCUUGGGCCCAACCGGAGAAUUGCUUCAGAAACUGGUGAACUUGAGUGCAGAAGAGGAGAGUGGAACUCCAUGUGUAGCGGUGGAAUGCGUAGAUAUAUGGAAGAACACCAGUGGCGAAGGCGGCUCUCUGGUCUGCAACUGACGCUGAGGGUCGAAAGCAUGGGUAGCGAACAGGAUUAGAUACCCGGGUAGUC